RNAcentral lists this ribosomal RNA (404 nucleotides) under uncultured bacterium. Its description in RNAcentral is "partial 16S ribosomal RNA". It matches the Rfam family "Bacterial small subunit ribosomal RNA", at positions 30 to 526 of the family's 1533-position model. The record is from RNAcentral.
AUUGAACGCUGGCGGCAGGCCUAACACAUGCAAGUCGAGCGAGCGGCGGACGGGUGAGUUAUGUCUGGAACUUCCCCAGUCGAGGGGGAUAACAGUUGGAAACGACUGCUAAUACCGCAUCCGAUGGUAUUCCACAGGGGGGAUUAGCUAGUUGGGGGGGUAAUGGCUCACCAAGGCGACGAUCCCUAGCUGGUCUGAGAGGAUGACCAGCCACACUGGAACUGAGACACGGUCCAGACUCCUACGGGAGGCAGCAGUGGGGAAUAUUGCACAAUGGGGGCAACCCUGAUGCAGCCAUGCCGCGUGUGUGAAGAAGGCCUUCGGGUUGUAAAGCACUUUCAGCGAGGAGGCGUUACUCGCAGAAGAAGCACCGGCUAACUCCGUGCCAGCAGCCGCGGUAAUAC